GCAAAGGCGGCAGCUUACACAUGCAGUCGAACGCCCCGCAAGGGGAGUGGCAGACGGGUGAGUAACGCGUGGGAACAUACCCUUUCCUGCGGAAUAGCUCCGGGAAACUGGAAUUAAUACCGCAUACGCCCUACGGGGGAAAGAUUUAUCGGGGAAGGAUUGGCCCGCGUUGGAUUAGCUAGUUGGUGGGGUAAAGGCCUACCAAGGCGACGAUCCAUAGCUGGUCUGAGAGGAUGAUCAGCCACAUUGGGACUGAGACACGGCCCAAACUCCUACGGGAGGCAGCAGUGGGGAAUAUUGGACAAUGGGCGCAAGCCUGAUCCAGCCAUGCCGCGUGAGUGAUGAAGGCCUUAGGGUUGUAAAGCUCUUUCACCGGAGAAGAUAAUGACGGUAUCCGGAGAAGAAGCCCCGGCUAACUUCGUGCCAGCAGCCGCGGUAAUACGAAGGGGGCUAGCGUUGUUCGGAAUUACUGGGCGUAAAGCGCACGUAGGCGGAUAUUUAAGUCAGGGGUGAAAUCCCAGAGCUCAACUCUGGAACUGCCUUUGAUACUGGGUAUCUUGAGUAUGGAAGAGGUAAGUGGAAUUCCGAGUGUAGAGGUGAAAUUCGUAGAUAUUCGGAGGAACACCAGUGGCGAAGGCGGCUUACUGGUCCAUUACUGACGCUGAGGUGCGAAAGCGUGGGGAGCAAACAGGAUUAGAUACCCUGGUAGUCCACGCCGUAAACGAUGUCGACUUGGAGGUCGGGCAGUUGAGGCGUGGCUUCCGGAGCUAACGCGUUAAGUCGACCGCCUGGGGAGUACGGCCGCAAGGUUAAAACUCAAAUGAAUUGACGGGGGCCCGCACAAGCGGUGGAGCAUGUGGUUUAAUUAGAUGCAACGAGAAGAACCUUACCUACUCUCGACAUCCAGAGAACUUUCCAGAGAUGGAUUGGUCCGUUAGGGAACUCUCAGACAGGUUGUGCAUGGGCGUUGUUAACUUCGUGUCGUGAGAUGUUGGGUUAAGUCCCGCAAGGAGCGCAACCCUAGCCUUUAGUUGCCAGCGUUUAGUUGGGCACUCUAAGGGGACUGCCGGUGAUAAGCCGAGAGGAAGGGGGGGAGGACGUCAAGUCCUCAUGGCCCUUACGGGCUGGGCUACACACGUGUUACAAUGGUGGUGACAGUGGGCAGCGAGACAGCGAUGUCGAGCUAAUCUCCAAAAGCCAUCUCAGUUCGGAUUGCACUCUGCAACUCGAGUGCAUGAAGUUGGAAUCGCUAGUAAUCGCAGAUCAGCAUGCUGCGGUGAAUACGUUCCCGGGCCUUGUACACACCGCCCGUCACACCAUGGGAGUUGGUUUUACCCGAAGGUAGUGCGCUAACCGCAAGGAGGCAGCUAACCACGUAGUCGUUCA
Molecule: ribosomal RNA, 1386 nt
Filed under: bacterium
Lineage: Bacteria
Description: bacterial SSU rRNA
Rfam family: Bacterial small subunit ribosomal RNA
Source: RNAcentral